Molecule: ribosomal RNA, 496 nt
Filed under: uncultured bacterium
Lineage: Bacteria
Description: partial 16S ribosomal RNA
Rfam family: Bacterial small subunit ribosomal RNA
Source: RNAcentral
AUGAACGCUGGCGGCGUGCCUCAUACAUGCAAGUCGCGCGAACAGACGAGGAGCUUGCUUCUCUGACUUUAGCUGCGGACGGGUGAGUAACACGUGGAUAACCUACCUAUAAGACUGUGAUAACUUCGGGAAACCGGAGCUAAUACCGGAUAAUAUAUUGAACCUCCUGGUUCCAUAGUGAAAGACGGUUUUGCUGUCACUUAUAGAUGGAUCCGCGCCGCAUUAGCUAGUUGGUAAGGUAACGGCUUACCAAGGCAACGAUGCGUAGCCGACCUGAGAGGGUGAUCGGCCACACUGGAACUGAGACACGGUCCAGACUCCUACGGGAGGCAGCAGUAGGGAAUCUUCCGCAAUGGGCGAAAGCCUGACGGAGCAACGCCGUGUGAGUGAUGAAGGUCUUCGGAUCGUAAAACUCUGUUAUUAGGGAAGAACAAAUGUGUAAGUAACUAUGCACGUCUUGACGGUACCUAAUCAGAAAGCCACGGCUAACUACGUG